Molecule: ribosomal RNA, 852 nt
Filed under: uncultured Psychrobacter sp.
Lineage: Bacteria; Pseudomonadati; Pseudomonadota; Gammaproteobacteria; Moraxellales; Moraxellaceae
Description: bacterial SSU rRNA
Rfam family: Bacterial small subunit ribosomal RNA
Source: RNAcentral
GAUUGAACGCUGGCGGCAGGCUUAACACAUGCAAGUCGAGCGGUAACAUUUCUAGCUUGCUAGAAGAUGACGAGCGGCGGACGGGUGAGUAAUACUUAGGAAUCUACCUAGUAGUGGGGGAUAGCUCGGGGAAACUCGAAUUAAUACCGCAUACGACCUACGGGAGAAAGGGGGCAAUUUGUUGCUCUCGCUAUUAGAUGAGCCUAAGUCGGAUUAGCUAGAUGGUGGGGUAAAGGCCUACCAUGGCGACGAUCUGUAGCUGGUCUGAGAGGAUGAUCAGCCACACCGGGACUGAGACACGGCCCGGACUCCUACGGGAGGCAGCAGUGGGGAAUAUUGGACAAUGGGGGAAACCCUGAUCCAGCCAUGCCGCGUGUGUGAAGAAGGCCUUUUGGUUGUAAAGCACUUUAAGCAGUGAAGAAGACUCCGUGGUUAAUACCCACGGACGAUGACAUUAGCUGCAGAAUAAGCACCGGCUAACUCUGUGCCAGCAGCCGCGGUAAUACAGAGGGUGCAAGCGUUAAUCGGAAUUACUGGGCGUAAAGGGAGCGUAGGUGGCUCGAUAAGUCAGAUGUGAAAUCCCCGGGCUCAACCUGGGAACUGCAUCUGAAACUGUUGAGCUAGAGUAUGUGAGAGGAAGGUAGAAUUCCAGGUGUAGCGGUGAAAUGCGUAGAGAUCUGGAGGAAUACCGAUGGCGAAGGCAGCCUUCUGGCAUAAUACUGACACUGAGGCUCGAAAGCGUGGGUAGCAAACAGGAUUAGAUACCCUGGUAGUCCACGCCGUAAACGAUGUCUACUAGUCGUUGGGUCCCUUGAGGACUUAGUGACGCAGCUAACGCAAUAAGUAGACCGC